GGGGGAUUGGUCUAACGGUAGGACGACUGACUCUGGAUCAGUUUGUAGAGGUUCGAAUCCUUUAUCCCCUGCCA
RNAcentral lists this transfer RNA (74 nucleotides) under Bacillota bacterium. RNAcentral's name for it is "tRNA-Gln". It matches the Rfam family "tRNA". From Rfam's summary of the family: Transfer RNA (tRNA) molecules are approximately 80 nucleotides in length. Their secondary structure includes four short double-helical elements and three loops (D, anti-codon, and T loops). Lineage: Bacteria; Bacillati; Bacillota. RNAcentral also lists the same sequence under 1 other name. The record is from RNAcentral.